UACGUAGGAAGCAAGCGUUGUCCGGAAUUACUGGGCGUAAAGCGUGCGCAGGCGGUUGUGCAAGACAGAUGUGAAAUCCCCGGGCUCAACCUGGGAAUUGCAUUUGUGACUGCACGGCUAGAGUGUGUCAGAGGGGGGUAGAAUUCCACGUGUGAGCAGUGAAAUGCGUAGAGAUGUGGAGGAAUACCGAUGGCGAAGGCAGCCCCCUGGGAUAACACUGACGCUCAUGCACGAAAGCGUGGGGAGCAAACAGG
RNAcentral lists this ribosomal RNA (254 nucleotides) under uncultured bacterium. RNAcentral's name for it is "partial 16S ribosomal RNA". It matches the Rfam family "Bacterial small subunit ribosomal RNA", at positions 524 to 776 of the family's 1533-position model. The record is from RNAcentral.